AUGCAAGUAGAACGCUGAAGGAGGAGCUUGCUCUCUCUGGAUGAGUUGCGAACGGGUGAGUAACGCGUAGGUAACCUGCCUGGUAGUGGGGGAUAACUAUUGGAAACGAUAGCUAAUACCGCAUAACAGUAGAUGUUGCAUGACAUUUGCUUAAAAGGUGCAAUUGCAUCACUACCAGAUGGACCUGCGUUGUAUUAGCUAGUUGGUGGGGUAACGGCUCACCAAGGCGACGAUACAUAGCCGACCUGAGAGGGUGAUCGGCCACACUGGGACUGAGACACGGCCCAAACUCCUACGGGAGGCAGCAGUAGGGAAUCUUCGGCAAUGGACGGAAGUCUGACCGAGCAACGCCGCGUGAGUGAAGAAGGUUUUCGGAUCGUAAAGCUCUGUUGUAAGAGAAGAACGAGUGUGAGAGUGGAAAGUUCACACUGUGACGGUAUCUUACCAGAAAGGGACGGCUAACUACGUGCCAGCAGCCGCGGUAAUACGUAGGUCCCGAGCGUUGUCCGGAUUUAUUGGGCGUAAAGCGAGCGCAGGCGGUUAGAUAAGUCUGAAGUUAAAGGCUGUGGCUUAACCAUAGUACGCUUUGGAAACUGUUUAACUUGAGUGCAAGAGGGGAGAGUGGAAUUCCAUGUGUAGCGGUGAAAUGCGUAGAUAUAUGGAGGAACACCGGUGGCGAAAGCGGCUCUCUGGCUUGUAACUGACGCUGAGGCUCGAAAGCGUGGGGAGCAAACAGGAUUAGAUACCCUGGUAGUCCACGCCGUAAACGAUGAGUGCUAGGUGUUAGACCCUUUCCGGGGUUUAGUGCCGUAGCUAACGCAUUAAGCACUCCGCCUGGGGAGUACGACCGCAAGGUUGAAACUCAAAGGAAUUGACGGGGGCCCGCACAAGCGG
Molecule: ribosomal RNA, 894 nt
Filed under: uncultured bacterium
Lineage: Bacteria
Description: bacterial SSU rRNA
Rfam family: Bacterial small subunit ribosomal RNA
Source: RNAcentral